GACGAACGCUGGCGGCGUGCUUAACACAUGCAAGUCGAACGGAAAGGCCCUGCUUUUGUGGGGUGCUCGAGUGGCGAACGGGUGAGUAACACGUGAGUAACCUGCCCUUGACUUUGGGAUAACUUCAGGAAACUGGGGCUAAUACCGGAUAGGAGCUCCUGCUGCAUGGUGGGGGUUGGAAAGUUUCGGCGGUUGGGGAUGGACUCGCGGCUUAUCAGCUUGUUGGUGGGGUAGUGGCUUACCAAGGCUUUGACGGGUAGCCGGCCUGAGAGGGUGACCGGCCACAUGGGGACUGGAAUAGGGCCCAGACCCCUACGGGGGGCAGGAGGGGGGAAAUUUGCAAAAGGGGCGGAAGCCUGAUGCAGAAACCCCGGGGGGGGGAUGAGGGCCUUGGGGUUGUAAACCGCUUUCGCCUGGGACGAAGGGUGGGUGACGGAAAUGGGGAAAAAAGCACCGGCUAAUUACGU
RNAcentral lists this ribosomal RNA (467 nucleotides) under uncultured bacterium. Its description in RNAcentral is "partial 16S ribosomal RNA". It matches the Rfam family "Bacterial small subunit ribosomal RNA", at positions 28 to 506 of the family's 1533-position model. The record is from RNAcentral.